Non-coding RNA from Cydia strobilella, 74 nucleotides. The record is from the annotation of a RefSeq genome assembly. Lineage: Eukaryota; Metazoa; Arthropoda; Insecta; Lepidoptera; Tortricidae.
GUCUUAAUGGCUCAGUUGGCAGAGCGCUGGAGUAUUGAUCCAGAGGCCGUGAGUUCAAGUUCUCACCCAAGACA